GACGAACGCUGGCGGCGUGCCUAAUACAUGCAAGUCGAGCGAAUCACUGGGAGCUUGCCCCCGGUGGUUAGCGGCGGACGGGUGAGUAACACGUGGGCAACCUGCCUGUAAGACUGGGAUAACACCGGGAAACCGGUGCUAAUACCGGAUAAUCCUUUCCUGCACAUGCAGGAAAGCUGAAAGUCGGUUUCGGCUGACACUUACAGAUGGGCCCGCGGCGCAUUAGCUAGUUGGUGAGGUAACGGCUCACCAAGGCGACGAUGCGUAGCCGACCUGAGAGGGGGAUCGGCCACACUGGGACGGGGACACGGCCCAGACUCCUACGGGAGGCAGCAGUAGGGAAUCUUCCACAAUGGACGAAAGUCUGAUGGAGCAACGCCGCGUGAGCGAUGAAGGCCUUCGGGUCGUAAAGCUCUGUUGUUAGGGAAGAACAAGUACCGGAGUAACUGCCGGUACCUUGACGGUACCUAACCAGAAAGCCACGGCUAACUACGUGCCAGCCGCCGCAGUAA
Molecule: ribosomal RNA, 512 nt
Filed under: uncultured bacterium
Lineage: Bacteria
Description: partial 16S ribosomal RNA
Rfam family: Bacterial small subunit ribosomal RNA
Source: RNAcentral